This 741-nucleotide ribosomal RNA is filed under the name uncultured bacterium. RNAcentral describes it as "bacterial SSU rRNA". It matches the Rfam family "Bacterial small subunit ribosomal RNA", at positions 98 to 865 of the family's 1533-position model. The record is from RNAcentral.
GCAAACGGGUGCGGAACACGUACGCAACUUCCUUUCAAGCGGGGAAGCCCAGAGAAAUUUGGAUUAAUACCCCAUAAGAAUGUGGAUUGGUAUCAAUCAGCAUAAAGAUUUAUCACUUGAAGAUGGGCGUGCGUCUGAUUAGGUAGUUGGUGAGGUAACGGCACCAAGCCGACGAUCAGUAACUGGCGUGAGAGCGCGACCAGUCACACGGGCACUGAGACGGGCCCGACUCCUACGGGAGGCAGCAGUAAGGAAUAUUGGUCAAUGGACGGAAGUCAACCAGCCAUGCCGCGUGGAGGAUGAAGGCCCUCUGGGUUGUAAACUUCUUUUAUUUGACGAAACACUUCUUUUCUAAGGAGCUUGACGGUACCAGAUGAAUAAGCACCGGCUAACCGUGCCAGCAGCCGCGGUAAUACGGAGGGUGCAAGCGUUAUCCGGAUUCACUGGGUUUAGGGUGCGUAGGCGGACAUGUAAGUCCGUGGUGAAAUCUCCGAGCUUAACUCGGAAACCCAUGGAUACUAUAUGUCUUGAAUGUUGUGGAGGUUAGCGGAAUAUGUCAUGUAGCGGAAAUGCAUAGAUAUGACAUAGAACACCAAUUGCGAAGGCAGCUGGCUACACAAAUAUUCGCUGAGGCACGAAAGCGUGGGGAUCAAACAGGAUUAGAUACCCUGGUAGUCCACGCCAAACGAUGAUUACUCGACAUACGCGAUACACAGUGUGUGUCUGAGCGAAAGCAUAAGU